This is a long non-coding RNA of Takifugu rubripes (torafugu), 1860 nucleotides long. Lineage: Eukaryota; Metazoa; Chordata; Actinopteri; Tetraodontiformes; Tetraodontidae. The record is from Ensembl.
GUUUUGGGACCCUUUUAAAUUUGAUUCGACACUUAAUUUAAGCUCAUUCAUUCACCUGUAGAAAUAGUGUGUAUUCCUAUGCACACCUUAAACAAACACCGUUGCUUCAAUCACGUAACCUGGAGAAUUCACGUUGCGUCUUAGAUUAGAUGCAAAUGUGGUUCUUCAAGAAAGAUCAGACACUGGGCGUGUUUUUUCUCCAAUGUUUACGUUAUGGAACUCAGUUAUGAAACGAAAUAAGGGGCGGGAUCAUUUGAAGUUACAUAACUUUUUUUUCCAUAAUUCAUUGAAUCGUCAGCCUCAAGGUGAACUUGAAAGGGGAAAAUGAGGAACUUUGACCAUAUUUUCAACUGACACGUGCUGAGGGCCCAUAAAUGCCCCAGUUGCACAAGGAGAUGUGACAUAAAAGCCCCUCCUUGGUCAUUCAUACCAAGCGUCAGUGAAGAGCGCACACAAAACGGUUAUAUCGGCUGCAUUUUAGGCAUUGAGAAUGGCGAAACACAGUAAAAGCCUUUUGUUCGCCAUAAUGACGGCAGUGGUCUUCUUCAUCGUCGCCAUGGUCUUCAGCGCCCUGGCAGCUCAAGGGAAGCAUCCCUUCCUGGAGCCUACUGGCAACGUUUCAGAUGCCUUUGCCAAUGAGAUCACACCCUCAGGAUGGACCUUCAUCAUAUGGACCAUCAUUUACAUCUUCCUGGCAUUAGUGUGUGUCUACACGCUGGCUGGAUUAUUUAGGAAGAACGCUUAUGGUUACGUCUACUGCAGCCCUGCCAUUCUACCACAUGGGUUCUUUGUGGCCUGGUGCUUGAACCUGGGUCUCAAUGUUGGAUGGUUGUUCCUAUGGGACAGGAGGUUGAUGGCUGGAGCUCUGGUCUUCCUCAUCUUAGUUGCUUUGACCAACUACGUGAUGAUUUUCUACUCCUGCCACAGUCUCCACAUUUACGGCGCGUGGCUCAGCAAGUACCACAAAGUCGACCUGUGGCUCCACCGUGCGCUGGUUCAGAACGGCAUCGCCAUAUAUGCAACCUGGACAACUGUUGCCUCUCUGGUUAAUUUGAGCAUUGUGCUGGUCAAAGACGCAAAAAUGUCCCCAGAAGACGCGGUCACUCUUUCUUUCUCUCUUCUCACCGUGGUCUUGCUUGUUUGGUUCGUCCUGGAGAAUUCUCUCCUGGACAAAUACCUGAGGCACAUCCUCUCCAUUUACCCCGCUGUCAUCUGGGCCCUGACGGGGGUGUUCACCAAGAACUACAACACCGCACAGCCCACCCGCAAUAACGUCUUCAACGUUGCUCUGUUGGGCGUCAGCUGCACCUUGCUGGCCCUGCGCUUGGUUUUGGUCAUCUGGAAGAACAUGAAAAGGCCGCUGUUAGAAGACGCCAGCCCAGAGGUCAUGUCUCCAAUGGAGAUCGCCGAGAGACAGAAAAAGAUAUAUAUAUGAGAAUGUUGGAGUUUUGGUCAAGAUUAGGUGUUUUUUUUUUUGACAACGGUGAAGAGGUUUUAUCGUUUAUGUAGCAGUAAACUUGUGUUUUUCAUUUUCAAGUGUUCUCUAGAACAUGAAUGCUAUUGUGUUGGGUAAUUUUGGGCAAACAGCAAUCAAAUGAUGAAUGCUUGUUUCAAAUUUAAGAAAAGGAGACAAAAACUAAAUUAUGGUGGUUUGAAAAUCUCCCAAAUGUGUGUUUAUCAUUAAAAAUCCCUUGAAUGGUGGAAAUGUCAGGUUCAGAUAAAAUGUGAGAUUUCUAAUUAUUAAAGUUUUUUCUCUCAAUAAAACACAAAACACUCAUGUGAAUAAGUGUUGUUUCUUGGUUUUAGUCUCUCCACACUGUUUCUUUUCCUGUUUUACGUUCUAAUAAAAAGAGAAAAAAG